Molecule: ribosomal RNA, 460 nt
Filed under: uncultured soil bacterium
Lineage: Bacteria
Description: bacterial SSU rRNA
Rfam family: Bacterial small subunit ribosomal RNA
Source: RNAcentral
CCUACGGGGGGCAGCAGUAAGGAAUAUUGGUCAAUGGACGCAAGUCUGAACCAGCCAUGCCGCGUGAAGGAUGAAGGCCCUCUGGGUUGUAAACUUCUUUUAUCUGGGACGAAAAAAGGGGAUUCCUCCCCACUUGACGGUACCAGAGGAAUAAGCACCGGCUAACUCCGUGCCAGCAGCCGCGGUAAUACGGAGGGUGCAAGCGUUAUCCGGAUUUACUGGGUUUAAAGGGUGCGUAGGUGGGCAUUUAAGUCAGUGGUGAAAUCUCCGGGCUUAACUCGGAAACUGCCAUUGAUACUAUUUGUCUUGAAUAUCCUGGAGGUAAGCGGAAUAUGUCAUGUAGCGGUGAAAUGCUUAGAUAUGACAUAGAACACCCAUUGCGAAGGCAGCUUACUACGGGAUCAUUGACACUGAGGCACGAAAGCGUGGGGAUCAAACAGGAUUAGAUACCCUUGUAGUC